RNAcentral lists this ribosomal RNA (253 nucleotides) under uncultured bacterium. Its description in RNAcentral is "partial 16S ribosomal RNA". It matches the Rfam family "Bacterial small subunit ribosomal RNA", at positions 524 to 776 of the family's 1533-position model. The record is from RNAcentral.
UACGAAGGGGGCUAGCGUUGUUCGGAAUUACUGGGCGUAAAGCGUGCGCAGGCGGCUAUCCAAGUCAGUGGUGAAAGCCCGGAGCUCAACUCCGGAAUUGCCAUUGAAACUGUUUAGCUCGAGUACGAGAGAGGUGAGUGGAAUUCCCAGUGUAGAGGUGAAAUUCGUAGAUAUCGAGAGGAACACCGGUGGCGAAGGCGGCGAUCUGGACGAUGACUGACGCUGAGACGCGAAAGCAUGGGGAGCAAACAGG